Molecule: ribosomal RNA, 618 nt
Filed under: uncultured Glomeromycotina
Lineage: Eukaryota; Fungi; Glomeromycota
Description: eukaryotic LSU rRNA
Rfam family: Eukaryotic large subunit ribosomal RNA
Source: RNAcentral
UGGGAGGUAAAUUUCUCCUAAGGCUAAAUAUCGGCGAGAGACCGAUAGCGAACAAGUACCGUGAGGGAAAGAUGAAAAGAACUUUGAAAAGAGAGUAAAAUAGUACGUGAAAUUGUUGAAAGGGAAACGAUUGAAGUCAGUCGUACCGACGAGAACUCAGCUUAUCGUGUGUGAACUUGUGGGCGUGCGUGAGUUUCGGCCUCGCUGUUUGCAUGUUUGUGCGCUUUGGGUGUACUUUUUCGUAUGGUAGGCCAACAUCAGUUUCGAUCACUAUAAAAUGACUGGCGGAAUGUAGCUUCGAUUUCGGUUGAAGUGUUAUAGCCUCUGGUAGAUGUGGUAAUUGGGACUGAGGAUUGCAACGAAUAUCCUUUGGGCUAUCCGUCUGGCCUCUGAAAGUUGCUUAGGUGCUGAAAGCUUGCUUAUGGUUAUCUAAGUUAACGGUCAAUAGGUUAGAACGUGAUUACAUUCGCUAAGGAUGUUGGCGUAAUGGCUUUAAACGACCCGUCUUGAAACACGGACCAAGGAGUCUAACAUAUAUGCGAGUGUUCGGGUGUGUAAACCCCUACGCGUAAUGAAAGUAAUUUAGGUGAGAUCACUUUUUUGUGUGCACUAUCGACC